This 250-nucleotide ribosomal RNA is filed under the name uncultured bacterium. Its description in RNAcentral is "partial 16S ribosomal RNA". It matches the Rfam family "Bacterial small subunit ribosomal RNA", at positions 526 to 779 of the family's 1533-position model. The record is from RNAcentral.
CGUAGGCGCAAGCGUUGUCCGGAUUUAUUGGGCGUAAAGAGCUCGUAGGCGGCUUGUUACGUCGUCCGUGAAACCUGGGCUUAACUCUGGGCGUGCGGUCGAUACGGGCAGGCUAGAGGCAGGUAGGGAGAUCGGAAUUCCUGGUGUAGCGGUGAAAUGCGCAGAUAUCAGGAGGAACACCGGUGGCGAAGGCGGAUCUCUGGGCCUGUUCUGACGCUGAGGAGCGAAAGCGUGGGGAGCGAACAGGAUU